RNAcentral lists this long non-coding RNA (1095 nucleotides) under Gallus gallus (chicken). RNAcentral's name for it is "lncRNA (ENSGALG00010019429.1)". The record is from RNAcentral. Lineage: Eukaryota; Metazoa; Chordata; Aves; Galliformes; Phasianidae.
ACCGAUCAAAACACUAAAAAGGAGCUGGCAGUGGAUGCAGGGUGUGCAGAUGGCUCAAGGAGAGUCUGCUCAGUGCUCGCAGGGCAGACCGCAUCACAUCAGAGCAUGGGAGAGUGUGACAGGAAAUAAAUUGGACCUUCAGUCAACCAUUUAGGAGUGGUAGGAGCUCCCCGGUGGAGGUUAUUCAAUUUGGUAAGGGAAAAAAGAAGAAAUGGAGGUGGACACGUUUCUUCCUGCCUCCCUAUUUUUAACCUCUUGGACUCUCACUCUGCUGGUCACAGAGGAGCUGAUGCUAUGAGAAGAGUCAUUUUGGUGGCUCUGGUCCACACAGAAGCAGGAAUUGCCCUCCAUUUAUAUGAGCUGCCAUUCUCCUGAAGGCUUUAACGAUGCUGGGUUUGAAGUGUCGCCAUUAACUCAUCAAGGAAAGUGCAGAGGGUCAAAUUCUUCCUUUUUCUGUUGUUCAUCAUAACUAUAGCCCUGGUUUACGUCACUUAUGCAUUCACUGAAUUGUGCCACUUGUGGGACAGGUUCUCCCUUGCAAUACAGUGUUAUUGGCAUUGGGAAGGGUGGGUGGCUGAGGAGGAGGAGCAAAGUCCUCCUGUUCUCCUGAGAUCCUCUGCCUUCACUGCCCCACGUUGCUGCCAGAAGGAAUGAGAAACCAUCACUGAGCUCAGAAACAAUCAUGGAAGGGAAAGGCAGCAAAAAAAAAAAAAAAAAAAAAAAAAAAAAAAUCAAAUGAAUCAUCUUCAUUCAAAAGGAAAGAAAGGCCAAGGAGCAAAUCCAGUGUGCAUCACCCAAUGGGCCGGUAAGCCUGUAACACUCACCAAGCAACAGUCAGAAACAACAGGUGUUUUGAAAAUAGCAGCAAUCCAGCUCCAAUAGAGGGACAACCAGCUGCACACAGGAAAGAGAUGAGAUGGGAUGUUUUCUACUCCAUAGUGAAGACAACGUCCAAAGCCUGGAAGCUGAGGCUGGGUGCAAUCUGCCUUAAAACGAGCAGCAGUUUCCAGCUUGGUGGGAGAAAAAAUGCUGAGGUUUUAAACAGGAAAGGCUUAAAAAUGAGAUCUGAAUGGCAAGAUGUUGUCUGCAUCCAGG